This is a non-coding RNA of Pimephales promelas (fathead minnow), 1205 nucleotides long. The record is from RefSeq and is a predicted model, not a curated record. NCBI's taxonomy places the organism in Eukaryota, Metazoa, Chordata, Actinopteri, Cypriniformes, Leuciscidae.
AGCUGAAUCAGCGAGUCAGGCAUGCGAUGGCUGCAGCAGCUGGAGAGCUCUGGAGGUCAUUAUGGCUCUUCACACACAGAAGAGAAGAAAGAGGGAGGAGCAGAGAGCAGAGGAAACUGAGCUGACAGGUAAUAUAUGCUCCAUGUGCCUUCCUCCCUCCGGACGGGAGUUCGCCCCCCAUGCCGGCUGGUCCGCACUGGCGUCUCUGCCUUUUCUUCUUCGAUUUGGAUGCACUAGGGGGUCAAGCGCGUGGUCGGUGAGAGGGAGUGGAAUUUACAGCUCUGCAGCAGCAAGGGGAAAAACUACUUCUCUGGGAACACCACACAUAGCAGGAAACUGCUGGUCAGGCUGCUGCAGCACAGCACUCUCUGGUUCAUUACCUCCUCGUGGCUGCAGCACGGAAGACAUCUAAAAGACGGACUCAGUAACUGAAACUCCCUGCUCGUGAAACAUGCAGCAUUUGUCUUGGAUCUUUUCACUCCGAGCCACUUUCGUAUGGAAUACGACUGUCGGGAUGGUUCGCCAACACUCAUUUCUGCUCAAAUUACUGGAACCAUGUUUGGUGAUUCAAGACUUCUGUAACUACAAGGGGGACAGGUGUACGCCAGCCACGAAGGGACGUUGGUGUCACGGUGAGGCGCGAGUUUCAGGCCAGGUGGGGGGGUGAAUCGGACUGAUGAAAAAAAAACAGACGUGGUGGCAUAUUAAUUCUCCGGGGAGGGCUGCUGAUAUGUGUGUCAGUGAGUGAACCCACAACACCAAGGGUAGUAACCCAAUUUCUCUCUGCAUGCUUUCCAAUCAUUAGGCAGGGGCAGGGCUGUAGUGCUGCAGUGCCAUCUCCCCCUCUCAACACACUCAUCCCUAAAUCUUUACUAACACUGGAGUCCAGCCAUACCUCGCCAUCAUAUCUAACCCCGUCAAGCACCAAACUCACCCAGGAUUUCCACCCCUGCUCAGAAUAGCCUGUCUAAGUGUUCUGUUAUAUUUCCACCCAUGCGCCUCUCCUUUUGGCCUGGUAUUGGAUAGGCUCCUGAGAGGAGGGGGAUGAGACAGGGCGGUGUAGACUUGUGGAAUGUGUGGAGCUGGAGCAAAGAUUCAUUAGAGAGCUACUGAACAUUUCAUGCUGCCAUGCAAACAGUUAUUGAUCUCUAGCACAUAGCAUUAGAGCUCUAGAGAAGCUUCUAGAACGAACAGACCGAGGUCAA